Molecule: long non-coding RNA, 497 nt
Organism: Schistocerca gregaria
Lineage: Eukaryota; Metazoa; Arthropoda; Insecta; Orthoptera; Acrididae
Exons: 5
Source: RefSeq, a predicted model, not a curated record
CCGCUGGAACUUUCUUCCGUCUGUGAAGAAGACGCUUUAAAAACUGAUGGCAACUGUGUAGAGCAACAUUUAGUCGAACUGGCUCUGUAAUAAUAGAGUUUUCGUCUCCUGUUGCUUCAGCAAUGUUCCGACGCAUCAAGGCGUUUUUCUCCCGGUGUGUGGGAAGGGAGAAAGACGAAGGUCUGCGACUGGACAAGACCUUGGUCGCUGCUCGAGGUAGUUUUGAGGAGCGUCCGUUUACACUUGACGUGUUCUUUAUCGAGCUGCUGCAGAGACGGCUGCAGGAAGAACAUAAAAUCCGUGCUGCUCCGGAGCGUCAGUUUACGCUUGACGCUUUUUUUGAGGAGCUACUGCAGAGACGUCUGCAGUGAGAAGAGGAAAGUCGUACUGCUACGGUCACUCCAGUAGCCUCCCCGCCAACCCACGGAGGCUCAAUACUCCACAAGACGGAGCUCUUCAUAGCCACCAAAUUCUAUGCUGCCUGCUGGGGGCACAGC